This 431-nucleotide ribosomal RNA is filed under the name uncultured bacterium. RNAcentral's name for it is "partial 16S ribosomal RNA". It matches the Rfam family "Bacterial small subunit ribosomal RNA", at positions 29 to 507 of the family's 1533-position model. The record is from RNAcentral.
AACGAACGCUGGCGGCAGGCUUAACACAUGCAAGUCGAACGCCCCGCAAGGGGAGUGGCAGACGGGUGAGUAACGCGUGGGAAUCUACCCAUCCCUACGGAAUAACGCAUGGAAACGUGUGCUAAUACCGUAUACGCCCUACGGGGGAAAGAUUUAUCGGGGAUGGAUGAGCCCGCGUUGGAUUAGCUAGUUGGUGGGGUAAAGGCCUACCAAGGCGACGAUCCAUAGCUGGUCUGAGAGGAUGAUCAGCCACAUUGGGACUGAGACACGGCCCAAACUCCUACGGGAGGCAGCAGUGGGGAAUAUUGGACAAUGGGCGCAAGCCUGAUCCAGCCAUGCCGCGUGAGUGAUGAAGGCCUUAGGGUUGUAAAGCUCUUUCACCGGAGAAGAUAAUGACGGUAGCCGGAGAAGAAGCCCCGGCUAACUUCGUG